This 425-nucleotide ribosomal RNA is filed under the name uncultured bacterium. RNAcentral's name for it is "bacterial SSU rRNA". It matches the Rfam family "Bacterial small subunit ribosomal RNA", at positions 355 to 772 of the family's 1533-position model. The record is from RNAcentral.
UGGGGAAUUUUGGACAAUGGGCGAAAGCCUGAUCCAGCCAUGCCGCGUGUGUGAAGAAGGCCUUCGGGUUGUAAAGCACUUUCGGACGGAACGAAAUCGCGCGGGUGAACAAUCCGCGUGGAUGACGGUACCGUAAGAAGAAGCACCGGCUAACUACGUGCCAGCAGCCGCGGUAAUACGGAGGGUGCGAGCGUUAAUCGGAAUUACUGGGCGUAAAGCGUGCGCAGGCGGCGCCGCAAGUCGAGUGUGAAAUCCCCGAGCUUAACUUGGGAAUUGCGCUCGAAACUACGGUGCUGGAGUGUGGCAGAGGGAGGUGGAAUUCCACGUGUAGCGGUGAAAUGCGUAGAGAUGUGGAGGAACACCGAUGGCGAAGGCAGCCUCCUGGGCCAACACUGACGCUCAUGCACGAAAGCGUGGGGAGCAAA